This 79-nucleotide microRNA precursor is filed under the name Chlorocebus sabaeus (green monkey). RNAcentral describes it as "miRNA (ENSCSAG00000021709.1)". Lineage: Eukaryota; Metazoa; Chordata; Mammalia; Primates; Cercopithecidae. The record is from RNAcentral.
UAUUAUGUUGGUGCAAAAGCAAUUGUGGUUUUUGGCAUUUUUUUUUUAAGUAAUCGCAAAAACUGCAAUUACUUUUGCA